RNAcentral lists this ribosomal RNA (580 nucleotides) under Colletotrichum graminicola. RNAcentral describes it as "eukaryotic LSU rRNA". The stretch from base 202 to 355 matches the Rfam family "5.8S ribosomal RNA". The record is from RNAcentral. Lineage: Eukaryota; Fungi; Ascomycota; Sordariomycetes; Glomerellales; Glomerellaceae.
UGCCCUCCGUAGGGUGAACCUGCGGAGGGRWCAUUACACAAAUAURMAGGCGGGCUGGAACCUCUCGGGGUUACAGCCUUGCUGAAUUAUUCACCCUUGUCUUUUGCGUACUUCUUGUUUCCUUGGUGGGUUCGCCCACCACUAGGACAAACAUAAACCUUUUGUAAUUGCAAUCAGCGUCAGUAACAAAUUAAUAAUUACAACUUUCAACAACGGAUCUCUUGGUUCUGGCAUCGAUGAAGAACGCAGCGAAAUGCGAUAAGUAGUGUGAAUUGCAGAAUUCAGUGAAUCAUCGAAUCUUUGAACGCACAUUGCGCCCUUUGGUAUUCCAAAGGGCAUGCCUGUUCGAGCGUCAUUUGUACCCUCAAGCUUUGCUUGGUGUUGGGCGUCUUGUCUCUAGCUUUGCUGGAGACUCGCCUUAAAGUAAUUGGCAGCCGGCCUACUGGUUUCGGAGCGCAGCACAAGUCGCACUCUCUAUCAGCAAAGGUCUAGCAUCCAUUAAGCCUUUUUUUCAACUKUUGACCUCGGAUCAGGUAGSGAURCCCGYUKAACUUAAGCAUAUCAAUAAGCGGGAGGAAAU